Heterocephalus glaber (naked mole-rat) is the source of this 236-nucleotide non-coding RNA. The record is from RefSeq and is a predicted model, not a curated record. Lineage: Eukaryota; Metazoa; Chordata; Mammalia; Rodentia; Bathyergidae.
UCAUAGUCUCUCCCUUCCCUCACUCUUCCUGCCAACUUGCAGAUGGAGGAGUGCAGACCUGAGCAUGAUGGAAACAUCUAGCUCCUAACCAUGGGCAAUUUAAGGGAUCACAGAACUGAGGGAUUUGAACCAUCUAUCUAGAACUCAUGGGUAUUCAGUUUUGUAAGGAUGGCCAUCUUUGUCAAACCAUAAUUAAAGAUAUUGAUGAAACUACUCUGUGGAAGGAGAAGGCAAAG